UGGGGCGGCCACAGGGAACCUCAAAGGGAAUCAUCCACUGUUCCAGCGGUUUAUGGAUUUUGGGAAGUAGAUAGAACUGUCUGGGCCUGGGAGGAUCUGGACCGAAAAGGUUCCUGACGAACAGACAGAACCGGACCCCCUUGCAGGCCCAUUGCUGUGGUAUUAGAGAGGGACUCAGAUUCGGGUUCAUUUAGAAGAGGAAACUCUCUUGGUAUUUUACCCCUCAUCAUUUGUCCCUCCCCCUCUAACAUGUUGUUGCCAGUUUCUGGGGUCCCCUCCGUCUUCAUCCGAGGAACCUGCAAAUGUAAAUUUGGCAUCAGGAGAAGAAACAUCAGGGUUCCACACUCUCUGCACUCCCCCUCGGGGACUGCGGCGAAGCGGCUUGAUGGACCUGCACCGACAUCUCCCUAGGCACCAGAAACGUAGGAGGGUCCGGCCAAUUCACCCUGU
This is a non-coding RNA of Paramisgurnus dabryanus, 450 nucleotides long. The record is from RefSeq and is a predicted model, not a curated record. NCBI's taxonomy places the organism in Eukaryota, Metazoa, Chordata, Actinopteri, Cypriniformes, Cobitidae.